This 323-nucleotide ribosomal RNA is filed under the name uncultured eukaryote. Its description in RNAcentral is "partial 18S ribosomal RNA". It matches the Rfam family "Eukaryotic small subunit ribosomal RNA", at positions 1470 to 1796 of the family's 1831-position model. The record is from RNAcentral.
CCCUUAGAUGUUCUGGGCUGCACGCGUGCUACACUGAUAUUGCCAAUAUGUCAUUCUUAUCCGAAAUGGAUUGGGUAAUCAAGUAAUGAAAUUUCAUGCUUGGAAUCGGUAAUUGCAAUUUUAUCGUGAACGAGGAAUUCCUAGUAAGCACUAGUCAUCAGCUAAUGUUGAUUAUGUCCCUGCCCUUUGUACACACCGCCCGUCGCUACUACUGAUUGGGUGUUCAAGUGAGAUGCUUAGACCCUUGUUGCAUGGUUCAUUAUUGUGCUCCGAAAGGAAAAAGUUUCAAGCUUGAGUGUCUAGAAGAAGUAAAAGUCGUAACA